This is a long non-coding RNA of Notolabrus celidotus (New Zealand spotty), 283 nucleotides long. RefSeq lists it as uncharacterized. The transcript has 3 exons. NCBI's taxonomy places the organism in Eukaryota, Metazoa, Chordata, Actinopteri, Labriformes, Labridae. The record is from RefSeq and is a predicted model, not a curated record.
CGGAAGUAAACAAAAGACACCGGUGCAUCUCCACUAACGGUCUGACAGGUGAUGGAGAACAGAUGACAACUCAGGACUCAACAUUAUGAACAACUGGAAAUAGGAACAAGGACCUCAGGAACCCUCACCUGAAAUCAGCCAACGAGAAUUGCUAACCUGAACAGCAGCUCAGAAUGCAGCCUCCUCAGACCGGCUGUGUCCACUUGGAGAAACGUUUAACGGGCACAAAAUCUCCUGCUGCUGAAGUUAUACGCAGGCCUGUACAGCCCAGAAGCCCAUGUAA